RNAcentral lists this ribosomal RNA (301 nucleotides) under uncultured bacterium. RNAcentral's name for it is "partial 16S ribosomal RNA". It matches the Rfam family "Bacterial small subunit ribosomal RNA", at positions 509 to 807 of the family's 1533-position model. The record is from RNAcentral.
CAGCAGCCGCGGUAAUAUGAAGGGGGCUAGCGUUGUUCGGAAUUACUGGGCGCAAAGCGCACGUAGGCGGAUACUUAAGUUAGGGGUGAAAUCCCAGGGCUCAACCCUGGAACUGCCUUUAAUACUGGGUAUCUUGAGUUCGAGAGAGGUAAGUGGAAUUCCGAGUGUAGAGGUGAAAUUCGUAGAUAUUCGGAAGAACACCAGUGGCGAAGGCGGCUCACUGGCCCGUUGUUGACGCUGAGGUGCGAAAGCGUGGGGAGCAAACAGGAUUAGAUACCCCUGUAGUCCCUGUCUCUUAUAC